GCGGAGGGCCGGAUGGCCGCGGCACCCCGCAAGGGGCGUCGAGGAAAGUCCGGACUCCACAAGACAACGGUGCCGGGUAACGCCCGGCCGGGGAAACCCGAGGGAAAGCGCCACAGAAAAGAGACCGCCCGACCAUUGUGGCCGGGUAAGGGUGAAACGGUGGGGUAAGAGCCCACCGCGGGACGGGCAACCGGACCGGCACGGCAAGCCCCACCGGGAGCAAUGCCAAAUAGGGACCGCACGCGGGGACCGGUCGGGCAACCGAAACCGCCCGCAGGCACGUCUUGGCCCGGCGGUCCGGGUUGGCAGCUUGAGGCGCGCGGGCAACCACGCGUCCAGAUGAAUGGUCAUCCAAGGGGGCAACCCCUGGACAGAAUCCGGCUUACAGGCCCUCCGCGCAC
Non-coding RNA from Roseovarius tolerans, 401 nucleotides. It matches the Rfam family "Bacterial RNase P class A". From Rfam's summary of the family: Ribonuclease P (RNase P) is a ubiquitous endoribonuclease, found in archaea, bacteria and eukarya as well as chloroplasts and mitochondria. Its best characterised activity is the generation of mature 5'-ends of tRNAs by cleaving the 5'-leader elements of precursor-tRNAs. Lineage: Bacteria; Pseudomonadati; Pseudomonadota; Alphaproteobacteria; Rhodobacterales; Roseobacteraceae. The record is from Rfam.